This is a long non-coding RNA of Vespula pensylvanica (western yellowjacket), 497 nucleotides long. RefSeq lists it as uncharacterized. The record is from RefSeq and is a predicted model, not a curated record. The transcript has 2 exons. Lineage: Eukaryota; Metazoa; Arthropoda; Insecta; Hymenoptera; Vespidae.
AUGGUGUGGAUUGGGGGAGGGGGUAAGUACGACACGAAGAAGAGCGAGCGCGAACGAGCGAGCGCGAACGAGCGAACGAGAGAGCGAGCAAGCGAGCGAGAGAGAGAGGAGAGAGAGAGAGAGUAGGAUAGGGGAAAGGAGGGAAUGAGAAGGGAGGAGGGCCACUUCGUCGAUCGUCGCACUUUACGGUACGUAUGAAUGAAACGAAACGAUCUUUCGAAAGUCGCGGACGUGGAAUGCUCGUGUGUCGCGUAACGAAAUAGAGAAAUAGGGAAAUAUAAAGAGAGAGAGAGAGAGAGAGAGAGAGAGAGGGAAGAGAAAUGGAGAACGAAUGAGCGGGGUAGAAGUCGGUGUGGUGGGGGGAAAAAGAAGGAGAAAGAAAGAAAGAGAGGAACAACUACUAUUCGUAAAGCAGCGAGGUACGCCGGCCGAACGCCGACCGUCGUCGCGACGACAACGACGACGACGACGACGACGACGACGACGACGACGAGGAC